AUUGAACGCUGGCGGAAUGCUUUACACAUGCAAGUCGAACGGUAGAGGGGGCAACCCCUUGAGAGUGGCGAACGGGUGAGUAAUAUAUCGGAACGUGCCCAGUCGUGGGGGAUAACGUAGCGAAAGUUACGCUAAUACCGCAUACGAUCUAAGGAUGAAAGCGGGGGACCGUAAGGCCUCGCGCGAUUGGAGCGGCCGAUAUCAGAUUAGGUAGUUGGUGGGGUAAAGGCUCACCAAGCCAACGAUCUGUAGCUGGUCUGAGAGGACGACCAGCCACACUGGAACUGAGACACGGUCCAGACUCCUACGGGAGGCAGCAGUGGGGAAUUUUGGACAAUGGACGCAAGUCUGAUCCAGCCAUUCCGCGUGCAGGAUGAAGGCCCCUCGGGUUGUAAACUGCUUUUGUACGGACGAAAAGGUUUCUAUUAAUACUAGGAGCUCAUGACGGUACCGUAAGAAUAAGCAACCGGCUAACUACGUG
This 481-nucleotide ribosomal RNA is filed under the name uncultured bacterium. RNAcentral's name for it is "bacterial SSU rRNA". It matches the Rfam family "Bacterial small subunit ribosomal RNA", at positions 30 to 507 of the family's 1533-position model. The record is from RNAcentral.